This 465-nucleotide ribosomal RNA is filed under the name uncultured bacterium. RNAcentral describes it as "bacterial SSU rRNA". It matches the Rfam family "Bacterial small subunit ribosomal RNA", at positions 32 to 506 of the family's 1533-position model. The record is from RNAcentral.
AUCAACGCUGGCGGCGUGCCUCAGACAUGCAAGUCGAACGAUUAAAGCUUUCUUCGGAAAGUGUAUAAAGUGGCGUACGGGUGAGUAACACGUAAGUAAUCUACCCUCGGGUGGGGAAUAACUCAGGGAAACCUGAGCUAAUACCGCAUAAUGCAGCGGCACCGUAAGGUGACAGUUGUUAAAGGAGUAAUUCGCCUGAGGAGGAGCUUGCGGCAGAUUAGCUAGUUGGUAAGGUAAUGGCUUACCAAGGCUACGAUCUGUAGCCGGUCUAAGAGGACGGUCGGUCACACUGACACUGAAUAACGGGUCAGACUCCUACGGGAGGCAGCAGUCGGGAAUUUUGGGCAAUGGGCGAAAGCCUGACCCAGCAACGCCGCGUGAAGGAUGAAGUCUUUCGGGAUGUAAACUUCGAAAGAAUAGGAAGAAUUAAUGACGGUACUAUUUAUAAGCUCCGGCUAACUACGU